GACGAACGCUGGCGGCAGGCCUAACACAUGCAAGUCGAGCGCCCCGCAAGGGGAGCGGCGGACGGGUGAGUAACGCGUGGGAACGUACCCUUUGCUACGGAAUAGCCUCGGGAAACUGGGAGUAAUACCGUAUGUGCCCUUCGGGGGAAAGAUUUAUCGGCAAAGGAUCGGCCCGCGUUGGAUUAGGUAGUUGGUGGGGUAAUGGCCUACCAAGCCGACGAUCCAUAGCUGGUUUGAGAGGAUGAUCAGCCACACUGGGACUGAGACACGGCCCAGACUCCUACGGGAGGCAGCAGUGGGGAAUCUUAGACAAUGGGCGCAAGCCUGAUCUAGCCAUGCCGCGUGAGCGAUGAAGGCCUUAGGGUUGUAAAGCUCUUUCAGUGGGGAAGAUAAUGACUGUACCCACAGAAGAAGCCCCGGCUAACUCCGUG
This 431-nucleotide ribosomal RNA is filed under the name uncultured bacterium. RNAcentral describes it as "bacterial SSU rRNA". It matches the Rfam family "Bacterial small subunit ribosomal RNA", at positions 28 to 507 of the family's 1533-position model. The record is from RNAcentral.